UGAAAAGCAGUGGCCUGUUGCCUCUGUGAACAGGCCUCUCGUUACCUUCAGGGAUAUAUGAAUCCAAAGUUAUUGGGUGAACCUCUGUUCUUUCUCUAUGACUCAAGGUUCAGUAAACCGUGGGACAUUU
Molecule: small nucleolar RNA, 130 nt
Organism: Arachis stenosperma
Lineage: Eukaryota; Viridiplantae; Streptophyta; Magnoliopsida; Fabales; Fabaceae
Product: small nucleolar RNA snoR74
Exons: 1
Source: RefSeq, a predicted model, not a curated record